This 253-nucleotide ribosomal RNA is filed under the name uncultured bacterium. Its description in RNAcentral is "partial 16S ribosomal RNA". It matches the Rfam family "Bacterial small subunit ribosomal RNA", at positions 524 to 776 of the family's 1533-position model. The record is from RNAcentral.
UACAGAGGUCCCAAGCGUUGUUCGGAUUCACUGGGCGUAAAGGGUGCGUUGGCGGUCGGGUAAGUCUGACGUGAAAUCUUCAAGCUCAACUUGGAAACUGCGUCGGAUACUAUUCGGCUAGAGGAAUGGAGGGGAGACUGGAAUACUUGGUGUAGCAGUGAAAUGCGUAGAUAUCAAGUGGAACACCAGUGGCGAAGGCGAGUCUCUGGACAUUUCCUGACGCUGAGGCACGAAAGCCAGGGGAGCAAACGGG